CCUACGGGGUGCAGCAGUGGGGAAUAUUGGGCAAUGGGCGCAAGCCUGACCCAGCAACGCCGCGUGAAGGAAGAAGGCUCUCGGGUUGUAAACUUCUUUUAUCCGGGACGAAGCAAGUGACGGUACCUGAUGAAUAAGCCACGGCUAACUACGUGCAAGCAGCCGCGGUAAUACGUAGGUGGCAAGAGUUAUCCGGAUUUACUGGGUGUAAAGGGCGUGUAGGCGGGAAAGCAAGUCAGAUGUGAAAACCAUGGGCUCAACCUGUGGCCUGCAUUUGAAACUGGUUUUCUUGAGUACUGGAGAGGCAGACGGAAUGCCUAGUGUAGCGGUGAAAUGCGUAGAUAUGAGGAGGAACACCAGUGGCGAAGGCGGUCUGCUGGACAGCAACUGACGCUGAGGCGCGAAAGCGUGGGGAGCAAACAGGAUUAGAGACCCCAGUAGUC
Molecule: ribosomal RNA, 443 nt
Filed under: uncultured bacterium
Lineage: Bacteria
Description: partial 16S ribosomal RNA
Rfam family: Bacterial small subunit ribosomal RNA
Source: RNAcentral